Molecule: microRNA, 22 nt
Filed under: Mus musculus (house mouse)
Lineage: Eukaryota; Metazoa; Chordata; Mammalia; Rodentia; Muridae
Description: mmu-miR-6974-3p
Source: miRBase by way of RNAcentral
UCUCCACUCUCUUCUGUCCCAG